UGAGACGUAAAGCUGUUGGUCCCGUGUGUUGUGUAAUGCACGUAAAAGAGCUCCAUGCAUUAAAAGAGAAGGGUUGUCCCCCCUGGUAAUCCUGGUUUGAUUGACAGCACCUUGCACCACAGCACCCUGUUAAUCUAUUGUAAGUCAUCUCAUUUCAGGGUACCCAGGGUUGUGUGAGCGCCUUGACUGAAGCCUACAUUCUUCUGUGCAGUGGUGGCAACAACUGGAACUGUUUGGAGCUGCAUCAAUAGAUCUGAAGGAUGCAGGUGUGGAAAGUCAACAACAGUCAGCUUGGUUUGAGUGAAAACCAUCCAGGGUUCUGUGAGUGCCUUGACUGGAGGCUACAUUCUUGAGCUGCAUUGGUGGGAGAAUAUACAUGCAAAAAGUUUCAAGCAGUCUACAAGUGAAACCAGGCGCCUUGACUGAAGGCUACAUUCAGUGCAGUAGUGACAACAACUGGAGCUGUUUGGAGCUGCAUUGGUUGAUCUGAUGAAUGCAGGUGUAGAAGGCAACAACAGCAGACCCUUACACAGGUUGUCUAUUGAAACGAUGUUGACCAAAUGAGGAGCUAACUUGACACAUGAUCUGGAUUGGAGGGGUUGGUUUCAGCAAGUGUCUUGACUGAAGGCUACGUUCUAGUGUGCAGUGGUGACUACAACGAGAGCUGUUUGGAGCUGCAUUUGUAGACCUGGAGGAUGCAGGUAGAAGUCAACAACAGCAGACCUUGUGUGUAAACCACCCGGGGUGCAGUGAGAGCCUUGACUGAAGGCUACAUUCUAGUGUGUAGUGGUGAUUACAAGUGGAGCUGUUUGGAGCUGCAUUGGUAGAUCUGGAGGAUGCAGAUGUAUAAGUCAAUAACAGAAGACCUUGUGGUAAGGGGCAUUAAGAGUAAACAUUGUCUAAGAAUUUAAAGCUUAAAAAAGAAGGUUUUUCUGCAUCAAACAAUAGUCAUCAGUUGGUCUUGGAAGACUUGCAGGAAGUUAAAAGGAAACGGUAACAUAGUCUUUGUCUCACUCUAUGUAAAAUUUAUAUCUUAUUUGUUCCUGAAAUGUGUAUUUUUUGGGUAAACAGUAUGUUGUCCACAGGUCAUCGGAGUCGGGAGAAAAUAACGGGCAAACCCACCCUUGUUUCUG
Long non-coding RNA from Asterias rubens (European starfish), 1133 nucleotides. RefSeq lists it as uncharacterized. The transcript has 6 exons. The record is from RefSeq and is a predicted model, not a curated record. NCBI's taxonomy places the organism in Eukaryota, Metazoa, Echinodermata, Asteroidea, Forcipulatida, Asteriidae.